RNAcentral lists this ribosomal RNA (500 nucleotides) under uncultured Alphaproteobacteria bacterium. RNAcentral describes it as "bacterial SSU rRNA". It matches the Rfam family "Bacterial small subunit ribosomal RNA", at positions 378 to 897 of the family's 1533-position model. The record is from RNAcentral. Lineage: Bacteria; Pseudomonadati; Pseudomonadota; Alphaproteobacteria.
CAACCCUGAUCCAGCCAUGCCGCGUGGGUGAAGAAGGCCUUAGGGUUGUAAAACCCUUUCGGCGGGGAAGAUGAUGACGGUACCCGCAGAAGAAGCCCCGGCUAACUCCGUGCCAGCAGCCGCGGUAAUACGGAGGGGGCAAGCGUUGUUCGGAAUUACUGGGCGUAAAGGGCGUGUAGGCGGUUUGCUAGGUCAGGCGUGAAAGCCCCGGGCUCAACCUGGGAUGUGCGUUUGAAACUGGCAGGCUAGAGGUUGGAAGAGGAGAGUGGAAUUCCCAGUGUAGAGGUGAAAUUCGUAGAUAUUGGGAAGAACACCGGUGGCGAAGGCGGCUCUCUGGUCCACACCUGACGCUGAGGCGCGAAAGCGUGGGGAGCAAACAGGAUUAGAUACCCUGGUAGUCCACGCUGUAAACGAUGUGUGCUAGACGUUGGAUGUUCAGCAUUCGGUGUCGUCGCUAACGCAUUAAGCACACCGCCUGGGGAGUACGGCCGCAAGGUUAA